RNAcentral lists this long non-coding RNA (1027 nucleotides) under Homo sapiens (human). RNAcentral describes it as "HSALNT0300593". Lineage: Eukaryota; Metazoa; Chordata; Mammalia; Primates; Hominidae. The record is from RNAcentral.
CCACAGAGGCAGAAGUGGGGCCGUGCCUCGCAUGCACCAUCACGUCAUCUCCAUGACACGGACAUUUUCCCCGCUGGUCUGGUGCCUUCCCAUCACUGGCUAUAACAUGAGGGCCCACCUUGUGGUUUCAGCCUAUUUAGAAAGGACAGAUUCAUCACUGCAACUGCCUGCUUGAGUCAAAGAUACUGUGUGUCUUUAUCUCCCAGCUGCAAAAGCUGAUAAGAAUGCAGAGGUGAUGUGAUAAUUUGUAGCUGAUUAUAGGAAUUUUUGACCUACAAAUGGAGAGAGAGAGAGAGAGAGAGAAGAGAAUGAUUGCUGAUUGCUGCUAUUGUAUGUAUCUUUUUAUGCUUUUAUGUUUUUGGAUUUUGCCAGGAAAAGCGAGAAAACCCCAUCAUAUCUCCUGAGUUUGACUUUGGAAGACACAGGGAUUAAAAUAUACCAAGAUCAAAUCUCGUAAACUUGAAACAGAGCAGCACUUUGCAGGCAUGGCAGAUGCCAGCAUUUUCAACCUCACACUGCCAGCUGAAGCUCACCUCUGCUUUCACUUACUGGAUGUGUGACCUUGGGCUCUCUCUGUAAGACGCUUAAACCUGCUUCCUUCUCUGUAAAAUGUGGGUAAUAACGCUUACAUCUCAGAGUUGUUGCGUUUUCUAUAAAGCCAGCUAAGAUGGCUGACUUAGAACAUUAGCUAUUAUUAUGACUAUUCCUCAAGCUCCUGUGUACUUGGGCACUGACUCUGGAGCCAGACUUCUUAGGUUCAAAUUCAAGCUCUGCCAGUUUCUAUUUGUGUAACCUUGAAUAAAUUGCUUAACUUCUCUGCCUCAGUUUCGUUAUCUGUAAAAUGGGGAUAAUAAUAUCAUUUACCUCAUUGGGUGGUUGUGUGAAUUAAAUGGAUGAAUAUGUAUCAUGUCCUUAAAGUGGUAUUCGGCAUAGAGUAAAUACUAUGUAAGUGUUUCAUAAGUGAAAUAAAAUAAGUGAAAUACACAUAUAUUUGUGUGUACAUAUAUAUACAUAUGAAAGUGCUGGC